Molecule: ribosomal RNA, 276 nt
Filed under: uncultured bacterium
Lineage: Bacteria
Description: partial 16S ribosomal RNA
Rfam family: Bacterial small subunit ribosomal RNA
Source: RNAcentral
CCGUUGCCGGCGACCGGCGCACGGGUGAGUAACACGUAUGCAACCUGCCCGUGGCAGGGGGAUAAGCGGGGGAAACCCCGUCUAAUACCGCGUAACGCGGCCUAGGGACAUCCCAAGGCCGCCAAAGGGAGCAAUCCCGGCCGCGGAUGGGCAUGCGGCGCAUUAGCUAGUCGGCGGGGUAACGGCCCACCGAGGCGACGAUGCGUAGGGGUUCUGAGAGGAAGGCCCCCCACACUGGUACUGAGACACGGACCAGACUCCUACGGAAGGCAGCAG